Long non-coding RNA from Corvus hawaiiensis (hawaiian crow), 1196 nucleotides. RefSeq lists it as uncharacterized. The transcript is spliced from 3 exons. NCBI's taxonomy places the organism in Eukaryota, Metazoa, Chordata, Aves, Passeriformes, Corvidae. The record is from RefSeq and is a predicted model, not a curated record.
AGGCUUCCUGGAGUUUCCUUUAAUUGUUUGGGGAGAUCUGUGUUGCAGCUACUGAACAAAACCACAGUGAAACAGAUAACUUUGGAUCCAAAGAAGUUCUCCAUGUUCCUAUCAUGGGACAGUGCCUACUUGGAUAAUUCUGCCUAUGCAGCAUAAUAGAGCACGCUGCAGAGAUCUCUGAAGUGAUGCCACCCUGAUCAUAUGUACAUGAUUAGAGACACAUUUCUGCUAGUAAUUUAUAUUUGUCUCUAAAUCCAGAUAUGAAAGUCUUUUGAGACAGAACUGAAGAAUAUAGGAGUUUCCAGUAGCAACAGGAGCAAUUCCCUGUGAUGAAGACUUGUCUUUUCAGUAGAACUGAAUGUAUCUUCAUACUCAACAUCAAGAACCUCCAAAAAAGCCCAAAUUUACUUCACUAGAAAAUAGUGUGAAGCUGAGUUAAAGUAGAAGCAGUCUUUUUGAGAACAGAAGGAAACAAGAUGUUAAAAGCUAAUUUUUAAUUUGUGACGUGCAGUUAAACAGUCUAUAUUUCUACUCAUUCCAUGAUAUUUGGAGUUGGCUUCCAUGGACAUAAGACAUCUGGGUUGCAAUGUAACUAUAAUGCUUGCUAAAAGAAUCCUAAUCUUUAUGUCUAAUUUCUCAGUUAUAUCAUUUGAGACUGAGACACUGCUUAUAUUAUUCAUCAUAGGUAUUGAAAAUACUUUAAGCAUUUCCAAGGAAGUCUUGAGAACCAAAUGCCAAAGCUUGAGGGUAGGGGAGAGUUGUUUGCAAAUUGCACGGAUGCAGCAUCAAGCUAACGGGCAAGGGAUUAACCAUUUUAGUGUGCAGUACACCAGAGGGGGAGAGAAGUGCAAGAGAAAGCAAAAGUCAUUGCAUGUUAAGUACUGAACUAAUGAAAGUUGUCGUGUCAUAAUUUAGGAGAGGGGUGGGGUUGGCUUCUACUUUGCAUCUGGCAUGUAGUUAAAUCUGUGUGCUAUUGUACCUUACCCAUGCAAAUCUAAGUGGAAAUAAACAAAUAAAAUUCCAAAAUCUUUGGAAGACUCAUUUCACAGAUUUUUGUUUUUCCUAAGCUAAAGAAGUCAUAUAUUCCAUUUAUCUCCUGUCACUACUGAUUACUUCAGCACUUUGGAUAACAUUUAAAACCAGGCAGUUUAUAAAAUAGAAGAGGCAUUACCUCUUAUACAGGGAUGAAAAAUACC